Bos indicus x Bos taurus (hybrid cattle) is the source of this 931-nucleotide long non-coding RNA. The record is from Ensembl. Lineage: Eukaryota; Metazoa; Chordata; Mammalia; Artiodactyla; Bovidae.
GUGACUGGGGGUCAGGUGGGCUCUGCCUUGGGUCCUGGUGGGUGAUCCCCCUGACAGCCAUUGACUUUCUCCUGCAGACCUGGCUGGUUGCUGUUCCUUGGGCCAAGCUCAGUCCCAAGAGGGGCUGCCCAGUUGCCUACUCCUCCUGACCCUUCAACGGCCUGGAAGGGAGGGUAUCACCUGAGAGGGGAGAUCAGUGAGCCUGCUGUGGAUCUGUUACCUGGAAUGUGGCUCCUCCCCAGGUGGGACUGGGGCCAGAGCUCAGGGGCCAGGACUCUGUCAAAACACUGGUGUCAAAAUGCCCUGCCUCCCUCUUCCCACAUCUGUAUCUAUAUCUAUCUAUCUAUAUAUAUAUGUGGAGACUCAGCUCCGGGGUAGAUCUCAACAAGAGAAGACAAGGAGCCUGGUGUUGAGGUCCCCUCUGUACCCAUAGGUGAGAGAUGUUGUUAUUGUCAUUGUUGCAUUGCUAAGUUGCAUCUGACUCCUUGUGACCCCAUGGUCUGCAGCAUGCCAGGCAUCCCUGUCCUUCACUAUCUCCCAGAGUUUGCUCGAACUCAUGUCCAUUGAGUCGAGGAUGCCAUCCAACCAUCUCAUCCUCUGUCACCCUCUUCUACCCUCAAUCUUUCCCAGCAUCAGGGUCUUUUCCAAUGAGGUGGCUCUUCAAAUCAGGGGGCCAAAGUAUUUGGACAUUCAGUUUUAACAUCAGUCCUUCCAAUGAAUAUUCAGGGUUGAUUUCCUUUAGGAUCAACUAGUUUGAUCUCCUUGCCAUCCAAGGACACUCUUAAGAGUCUUCUCCAGCCCCACAGUUCGAAGACAUCAAUUCUUUGGCACUCAGCCUUCUUUAUAGUCCCAACUCUCACAUCCGUACAUGACUACUGGAAAAACCAUAACUUUGACUAUACAGAUCUUUGUUGGCAAAAUAAUGUCUCUA